This 484-nucleotide ribosomal RNA is filed under the name uncultured bacterium. Its description in RNAcentral is "partial 16S ribosomal RNA". It matches the Rfam family "Bacterial small subunit ribosomal RNA", at positions 30 to 507 of the family's 1533-position model. The record is from RNAcentral.
AUUGAACGCUGGCGGCAGGCCUAACACAUGCGAGUCGAGCGGAUGAAGGGAGCUUGCUCUUGGAUUCAGCGGCGGGCGGGUGAGUAAUGCCUAGGAAUCUGCCUGGUAGUGGGGGGUAACGUCCGGAAACGGGCGCUAAUACCGCAUACGUCCUGAGGGAGAAAGUGGGGGAUCUUCGGACCUCACGCUAUCAGAUGAGCCUAGGUCGGAUUAGCUAGUUGGUGGGGUAAAGGCCUACCAAGGCGACGAUCCGUAACUGGUCUGAGAGGAUGAUCAGUCACACUGGAACUGAGACACGGUCCAGACUCCUACGGGAGGCAGCAGUGGGGAAUAUUGGACAAUGGGCGAAAGCCUGAUCCAGCCAUGCCGCGUGUGUGAAGAAGGUCUUCGGAUUGUAAAGCACUUUAAGUUGGGAGGAAGGGCAGUAAGUUAAUACCUUGCUGUUUUGACGUUACCAACAGAAUAAGCACCGGCUAACUUCGUG